Molecule: ribosomal RNA, 414 nt
Filed under: Metridium senile (brown sea anemone)
Lineage: Eukaryota; Metazoa; Cnidaria; Anthozoa; Actiniaria; Metridiidae
Description: partial large subunit ribosomal RNA
Rfam family: Bacterial large subunit ribosomal RNA
Source: RNAcentral
GUUGGCCGGUAUGAAUGGCAUCACGAAGGCCCCACUGUCUUAAGAGGACUCUCCAUGAAAUUGAAAUCGUAGUGAAGAUGCUACGUCCAUAUUGUAAGACGAAAAGACCCCAUUGAGCUUUACUAAAGACUUGUAUGGCUCGAAAUAACUUAAAUAAAAAGUUUAGAUAAUGUGGGAUCCGUUUUGGUUAAUGAAACACCACUCUUUUAUUUUAAGAGAGCUAACCUUGUAGGGAGAAUGCAAGUUGGAUAGUUUGGUUGGGGCGACCACCUUUUAAAAGGUAACGAAGGUGAGCUUAAGGUCCGUAGUUAAUAGCUAGUGGCCUGACUGCAAGGGGGACAUCCCGAGCAGACACUGGUAAUCUCUCAGUGGGUUAUAGUGACCCGUCAUCUUAGAGUGGAAUAGUUGACGAUC